GGGUUGUGAGGUUAAGCGACUAAGCGUACACGGUGGAUGCCCUGGCAGUCAGAGGCGAUGAAGGACGUGCUAAUCUGCGAUAAGCGUCGGUAAGGUGAUAUGAACCGUUAUAACCGGCGAUUUCCGAAUGGGGAAACCCAGUG
This 143-nucleotide ribosomal RNA is filed under the name Escherichia coli. Its description in RNAcentral is "partial 23S ribosomal RNA". It matches the Rfam family "Bacterial large subunit ribosomal RNA", at positions 1 to 133 of the family's 2925-position model. RNAcentral also lists the same sequence under 4 other names. The record is from RNAcentral. Lineage: Bacteria; Pseudomonadati; Pseudomonadota; Gammaproteobacteria; Enterobacterales; Enterobacteriaceae.